This 392-nucleotide ribosomal RNA is filed under the name Oxystomina sp. 2 LM-2017. RNAcentral's name for it is "SSU rRNA". It matches the Rfam family "Eukaryotic small subunit ribosomal RNA", at positions 40 to 433 of the family's 1831-position model. Lineage: Eukaryota; Metazoa; Nematoda; Enoplea; Enoplida; Oxystominidae. The record is from RNAcentral.
AAGAUUAAGCCAUGCAUGUGUAAGCAUGAAUCAUUUAAUGGUGAAGCCGCGAAUGGCUCAUUAUAACAGCCAUAGUUUAUUAGAUUUCUUUUUACUUGGAUAACUGUGGUAAUUCUAGAGCUAAUACACGCAGCCAAGCUUCGACCUUACGGAAGGAGCGCAUUUAUUAGAACAAAACCAAUCGUACUUCGGUACGUCACUUGGUGAAUCUGAAUAACUUAGUCGAUCGCAUGGUCUUUGUACCGGCGACGCAUCUUUCAAGUGUCUGCCUUAUCAACUUUCGAUGGUAGUUUACGCGCCUACCAUGGUUGUAACGGGUAACGGAGAAUCAGGGUUUGAUUCCGGAGAGGGAGCCUGAGAAAUGGCUACCACAUCCAAGGAAGGCAGCAGGC